AUGUCUACAACACCAGAGAUAUCUCAGACAGCAUGCUCAGCAGCCUCUGAGGAUUAUGAUCCAUCAAAGGAUCUUGUGAGGAAGCCAACUAGGACCAAGGACCCAGCAUGGAAGUAUGCCUUUUGGCCUCAUCUGCAGGAUAAAUUGACAAUCCAGUGUGUUUUGUGUGGCAAAAACAUCUCUUCUGGUUACACAGUGGUGUUAAUGUGUCUGAAAGCAACCGAUGAAAUCAUGAAAGACAUGCAUUUGUACAUGAAGACUAACUUAACCAAGUUCAAAGCCAUGCAUUCAUUUGUAUUGUAUACUGUACUUGUAUACUUAUAUAGUGUAAUACUACAUACUACUACCAGGUAUUAG
Molecule: ribosomal RNA, 357 nt
Filed under: Triticum aestivum (bread wheat)
Lineage: Eukaryota; Viridiplantae; Streptophyta; Magnoliopsida; Poales; Poaceae
Description: partial small subunit ribosomal RNA
Source: RNAcentral